CAUGCAUGUCUCAGUACGAACCGCUUUAAGGCGAAACCGCGAAUGGCUCAUUAAAUCAGUUAUGGUUCCUUGGAUCUUACCCACACUUACAUGGAUAACUGUGGUAAUUCUAGAGCUAAUACAUGAACCUAGCACCCCGACCAGUGAUGGAAGGGGUGCUUUUAUUAGAACAAAACCAAUCGGUCGGUCUUCCGUCCGUUGCCUUGGUGACUCUGAAUAACUUUUGGCUGAUCGCACGGUCCCAGCACCGGCGACGCAUCUUUCAAAUGUCUGCCUUAUCAACUUUCGAUGGUAGGUUCUGCGCCUACCAUGGUUGUAACGGGUGACGGGGAAUCAGGGUUCGAUCCCGGAGAGGGAGCCUGAGAAACGGCUACCACAUCCAAGGAAGGCAGCAGGCGCGCAAAUUACCCACUCCCGGAACGGGGAGGUAGUGACGAAAAAUAACGAUACGGGACUCAUCCGAGGCCCCGUAAUCGGAAUGAGAACACUUUAAAUCCUUUAACGAGGAUCUAUUGGAGGGCAAGUCUGGUGCCAGCAGCCGCGGUAAUUCCAGCUCCAAUAGCGUAUAUUAAAGUUGUUGCGGUUAAAAAGCUCGUAGUCGGAGGUGUGUCUCGGACGGUCGGUUCGCCGCUUGCCGGUGCUCAACUGGCCGGUCCGGACGUCCUGCCGGUGGGGCCGCGAGGCCCCGUUAUCCUUCUUUGGUCCUCUUCACCGAGUGCCUUGGUGGGCCGGCACGUUUACUUUGAACAAAUUAGAGUGCUCAAAGCAGGCCGUUGGUCGCCUGAAUACUGUGUGCAUGGAAUAAUGGAAUAGGACCUCGGUUCCAUUUUGUUGGUUUUCAGAACUCGAGGUAAUGAUUAAUAGGGACGGACGGGGGCAUUCGUAUUGCGACGUUAGAGGUGAAAUCUUGAUUUUCACCGUGGUG
This 925-nucleotide ribosomal RNA is filed under the name Dysphaea ethela. Its description in RNAcentral is "SSU rRNA". It matches the Rfam family "Eukaryotic small subunit ribosomal RNA", at positions 50 to 932 of the family's 1831-position model. Lineage: Eukaryota; Metazoa; Arthropoda; Insecta; Odonata; Euphaeidae. The record is from RNAcentral.